GGACGAACGCUGGCGGCGUGCUUAACACAUGCAAGUCGAACGGUGAACCAGGGCUUGCCCUGGGGAUCAGUGGCGAACGGGUGAGUAACACGUGGGCAACCUGCCCCUGACUCUGGGAUAACUCCUCGAAAGAGGUGCUAAUACCGGAUACGACCACUUCGGGCAUCCGAUGGUGGUGGAAAGAAUUUUGGUCAGGGAUGGGCCCGCGGCCUAUCAGCUUGUUGGUGGGGUAACGGCCCACCAAGGCGACGACGGGUAGCCGGCCUGAGAGGGCGACCGGCCACACUGGGACUGAGACACGGCCCAGACUCCUACGGGAGGCAGCAGUGGGGAAUAUUGCGCAAUGGGCGAAAGCCUGACGCAGCGACGCCGCGUGAGGGACGACGGCCUUCGGGUUGUAAACCUCUUUCAGCAGGGACGAAGCGAAAGUGACGGUACCUGCAGAAGAAGCACCGGCUAACUACGUG
Molecule: ribosomal RNA, 467 nt
Filed under: uncultured bacterium
Lineage: Bacteria
Description: bacterial SSU rRNA
Rfam family: Bacterial small subunit ribosomal RNA
Source: RNAcentral